RNAcentral lists this ribosomal RNA (253 nucleotides) under uncultured bacterium. Its description in RNAcentral is "partial 16S ribosomal RNA". It matches the Rfam family "Bacterial small subunit ribosomal RNA", at positions 524 to 776 of the family's 1533-position model. The record is from RNAcentral.
UACGUAGGGUGCGAGCGUUGUCCGGAAUUAUUGGGCGUAAAGAGCUCGUAGGCGGUUCGUCGCGUCGAAUGUGAAAACCCGGGGCUCAACUCCGGGCCUGCAUUCGAUACGGGCGGACUAGAGUUCGGUAGGGGAGACUGGAAUUCCUGGUGUAGCGGUGAAAUGCGCAGAUAUCAGGAGGAACACCAACGGCGAAGGCAGCUCGCUAGGACGGUACUGACGCUGAGGCGCGAAAGCGUGGGGAGCAAACAGG